CCUACGGGGGGCUGCAGUGGGGAAUAUUGGACAAUGGGGGCAACCCUGAUCCAGCCAUGCCGCGUGUGUGAAGAAGGCCCUCGGGUUGUAAAGCACUUUCAGUGAGGAAGAACGCCUGGUGGUUAAUACCCAUCAGGAAAGACAUCACUCACAGAAGAAGCACCGACUAACUCCGUGCCAGCAGCCGCGGUAAUACGGAGGGUGCGAGCGUUAAUCGGAAUUACUGGGCGUAAAGCGCGCGUAGGUGGCUUGAUAAGCCGGUUGUGAAAGCCCCGGGCUCAACCUGGGAACGGCAUCCGGAACUGUCAAGCUAGAGUGCAGGAGAGGAAGGUAGAAUUCCCGGUGUAGCGGUGAAAUGCGUAGAGAUCGGGAGGAAUACCAGUGGCGAAGGCGGCCUUCUGGACUGACACUGACACUGAGGUGCGAAAGCGUGGGUAGCAAACAGGAUUAGAUACCCCUGUAGUC
RNAcentral lists this ribosomal RNA (465 nucleotides) under Vreelandella stevensii. RNAcentral describes it as "partial 16S ribosomal RNA". It matches the Rfam family "Bacterial small subunit ribosomal RNA", at positions 338 to 795 of the family's 1533-position model. The record is from RNAcentral. Lineage: Bacteria; Pseudomonadati; Pseudomonadota; Gammaproteobacteria; Oceanospirillales; Halomonadaceae.